RNAcentral lists this ribosomal RNA (1430 nucleotides) under uncultured bacterium. Its description in RNAcentral is "bacterial SSU rRNA". It matches the Rfam family "Bacterial small subunit ribosomal RNA". The record is from RNAcentral.
AGAGUUUGAUCCUGGCUCAGAUUGAACGCUGGCGGUAUGUAUAAUACAUGCAAGUCGAGCGACCCACUUCGGUGGGGAGCGGCGAACGGGUGAGUAACACGUUGGAACCUGCCCCGAACUCAGGGAUAACAUCUAGAAAUAGAUGCUAAUACCGGAUGGUCCCGCAAGGGUAAAGAUUUAUCGGUUCGGGAGGGUCCUGCGGCCUAUCAGCUUGUUGGUGUGGUAACGGCGCACCAAGGCUAUGACGGGUAGCUGGUCUGAGAGGAUGAUCAGCCACAAUGGGACUGAGACACGGCCCAUACUCCUACGGGAGGCAGCAGUAAAGAAUCUUUCGCAAUGGGGGAAACCCUGACGAAGCAAUACCGCGUGAUUGAUGAAGGCCGAAAGGUCGUAAAGAUCUUUUCUGAGGGAAUAAUUCUGAAGGUACCUCAGGAAUAAGCACCGGCUAACUCCGUGCCAGCAGCCGCGGUAAUACGGAGGGUGCAAGCGUUAUCCGGAAUCAUUGGGCGUAAAGCGUCCGCAGGUGGUUCGUUAAGUUGAAUAUUAAAUCUUGAAGCCCAACUUCAAAUCAGUGUUCAAAACUGGCGAGCUAGAGCAUUUCUGAGGUACAUGGAAUUCUGUGUGUAGGGGUAAAAUCCGUAGAUACACAGAGGAACACCAAAAGCGAAGGCAGUGUACUGGGAAAUUGCUGACACUCAUGGACGAAAGCGUGGGGAGCGAACAGGAUUAGAUACCCUGGUAGUCCACGCCGUAAACGAUGGAUACUAGUUGUUGGAGGACUCGACCCCUUCAGUGACGUCGCUAACGCAUUAAGUAUCCCGCCUGGGGAGUACGGUCGCAAGAUUAAAACUCAAAGGAAUAGACGGGGACCCACACAAGCGGUGGAGCAUCUGGCUUAAUUCGAUAAUGAGCGAGGAACCUUACCUAGGCUUGACAUCCCGAGAAUCUUCCGGAAACGGAGGAGUGCCUCUGGAACUCGGUGACAGGUGCUGCAUGGUCGUCGUCAGCUCGUGCCUUGAGGUGUUCGGUUAAGUCCGUAAACGAGCGCAACCCAUAUUCUGUGUUGAAUUUUUCACAGAAGACUGCCGAUUCCAAAUCGGAGGAAGGUAUGGAUGACGUCAGAUCAGCAUGGCCCUUAUGCCUAGGGCUGCACAGGUGCUACAAUGGUCGGUACAGAAGGUUGCAAUGUCGUAAGACGGAGCCAAUCCCUAAAACCGAUCUCAGUUCGGAUUGAGGGCUGCAAUUCGCCCUCAUGAAGUUGGAAUCGCUAGUAAACGCGCAUCAGCAAUGGCGCGUUGAAUAUGUUCCUGGGUCUUGUACUCACCGCCCGUCACACUAUGAAAGGUGGGGGCGCCCGAAGUACCCUUAGCUAUUGGCGGGGUCCUAAGGUGAAACCACUGAUUGGAGUGAAGUCGUAACAAGGUAACCGU